UCACAAGGGAGGGAGAAAACAGGACAAAAGAAUAGGCAGUGUGUUUCCGAAUGUCAAAUUAGAAGAAAAAAAAUUGCCAUAUAAACAUCCCAACAUAUGGAAGUAGGCUGAAGAAAGAAAGAAAGAAAGAAAGAAAAAAAAAAGAUUCUACUCCACUCACUGCAAUCCAAAGCCAACCAUUACACACAGAGAGCCAAUUAUGUGCUUUCGUCCUCGCUCUGCCUCCUGCUCCAACUGGCUUUUCUCUGAACACAUGACCAGGGCAGCCCCUCUCCCUCUGUAUCCCGUUGGUCUGAAAUUGACCAGAGCUAGUGUCUCCUGUUAAGCAUUAAGUCGAGGGGAAUUACUGCGGCUCCCACGGCCCACGUCAGUGAUAAAAAUAGAGACGGACACUGUACUUUCAGAACAGAGGGAAGAAGACGCAGAUGAAGAGACAGAUGAGAGCUGCCAGAGAGCUGCCAUCCAUGGGGGACCUCUACACCCAGCGGUGCAGGAAGAAAGCCAAAAGCAAACCACCACAAACUGCUCUGCCUGCUGCCAUCCGUGAUUAACACACAUGA
Perca fluviatilis (European perch) is the source of this 560-nucleotide long non-coding RNA. RefSeq lists it as uncharacterized. The transcript has 3 exons. Lineage: Eukaryota; Metazoa; Chordata; Actinopteri; Perciformes; Percidae. The record is from RefSeq and is a predicted model, not a curated record.